This 618-nucleotide ribosomal RNA is filed under the name uncultured fungus. Its description in RNAcentral is "eukaryotic LSU rRNA". The stretch from base 244 to 394 matches the Rfam family "5.8S ribosomal RNA". The record is from RNAcentral. Lineage: Eukaryota; Fungi.
CUUGGUCAUUUAGAGGAAGUAAAAGUCGUACAAGGUUUCCGUAGGUGAACCUGCGGAAGGAUCAUUACCGAGUUAGGGUUUCAUGGCCUGACCUCCAACCCUAUGUCUACUAUACCGUGUUGCUUUGGGGGUCCGCCCUUUGGGGCCGCCGGGGGCUUUACUGCUCCUGGCCUGCGCUGUCAGUAGCCUUCUUAAAUUCUUUUUAUAACUGUGUUGUCUGAGUCCAAUAUCAAAUCAUUUUAAAACUUUCAACAACGGAUCUCUUGGUUCUGGCACGAUGAAGAACGCAGCGAAAUGCGAUAAGUAAUGCGAAUUGCAGAAUUCGUGAGUCAUCGAAUCUUUGAACGCACAUUGCGCCCUUUGGUAUUCCGAAGGCAUGCCUGUUCGAGCGUCAUUAUCAACCAUCAAGCCUGGCUUGUCGUGGACUCCUUUGUCGCCUGGCGACAGAUCCAAAAGAUAAUGACCGGCGCCUGGUGACCCUAUAUGCAACGAGCUUGUAAGAGCACGCACUUAGUGGUCGCCGGCUCGGUUGUCACCCUUUAUUUUCUCACGGUUGACCUCGGAUCAGGAGGAAUACCCGCUGAACUUAAGCAUAUCAAUAAGCGGAGGAAAGGUACA